RNAcentral lists this long non-coding RNA (756 nucleotides) under Homo sapiens (human). Its description in RNAcentral is "family with sequence similarity 201 member A". Lineage: Eukaryota; Metazoa; Chordata; Mammalia; Primates; Hominidae. The record is from RNAcentral.
AGCCCGGUCCACCACAGCCUUCAGCAGCGACACUCGCAGACUCCGACCUCUCAGACCGAGUGAGCCCAGCUAAGCCGUUAGGCGCGCGCCUGAACCUCAGCGCUCCGAACUCUCAGACCGAGACAGCGGGCUGGGAAGCCAGGGGCCGCCGGGACCUGGGGCUGGAAACCACAUCUGCCCACAGCCGCAGCCUCCUGCACCUGUCAUCCUGGCGGCGCCCUGACGUCGGAGAAGCAGCAGGCGCGGAGCUCCUGCAGCGGGCACCGCUGCAGCAACCCGACCCGGCGCAGGCGGCAGUGGAAGGCGGCCUGCUAGCACGGCUCCCGCGGCCCCAGGACCAGGGGUGCGGCCAGCACCGCCCUCACUCCCCGCGUCUCGUGGAUAUUGCCCUCCCUGGAGGCGGCUGGACCUAAGCGAGGCUCGCAGCGAUCGGCCCCGCGAAGACUCGCAUGCAGGGCUCAGGAUCCCGCAUUCUGGCGCCGCGGCACCGCACCUUUCAGCAGCCCUGCUCCUCUUCUUGUUGGUAAACUUUUGUCACUCUGCCAUGAAAAGCAUCCAGGCGUCCUUGAUUUCGACAUUGCGUGCACGCUCAGCCGAGCUCAUCAGACGGGCGGUUGUCCCCAGAGCCCGCGGGUAGCUUGUUCCCGGGCGGCGGCUCCUGCUGGAUGCAGCUCCUUGUGGGCCUACCAGGCUUGGUGGAGCCACAGCAGACCUGUGGAGAGGAAGAGUAAGGCGGGCUCUGCAGGGCAGUGGGCC